CAAUAGCGUAUAUUAAAGUUGUUGCAGUUAAAAAGCUCGUAGUUGGAUUUCGGGGCAGCCUGGCUGGUCCGCCGCAAGGCGAGUACUGGUCAGCCGCCCUUCCUCUCGAAAGCCCCGACUGCUCUUUAUUGCAGUGGUCGGGUAGUUCGGGACGUUUACUUUGAAAAAAUUAGAGUGUUCAAGGCAGGCCUACGCCUGAAUACAUUAGCAUGGAAUAAUGGAAGAGGACCUCGGUCCUAUUUUGUUGGUUUCCAGGACCGAAGUAAUGAUUAAGAGGGACAGUUGGGGGCAUUCGUAGUUAAUUGUCAGAGGUGAAAUUCUCGGAUUUAUGAAAGACGAACAACUGCGAAAGCAUUUGCCAAGGAUGUUUUCAUUAA
RNAcentral lists this ribosomal RNA (377 nucleotides) under uncultured eukaryote. Its description in RNAcentral is "partial 18S ribosomal RNA". It matches the Rfam family "Eukaryotic small subunit ribosomal RNA", at positions 592 to 976 of the family's 1831-position model. The record is from RNAcentral.